Molecule: ribosomal RNA, 200 nt
Filed under: uncultured bacterium
Lineage: Bacteria
Description: partial 16S ribosomal RNA
Rfam family: Bacterial small subunit ribosomal RNA
Source: RNAcentral
AGAGUUUGAUCCUGGCUCAGAAUCAACGCUGGCGGCGUGCCUAACACAUGCAAGUCGAACGAGAAAGUCCCGCAAGGGAUGAGUAAAGUGGCGCACGGGUGAGUAACACGUAGCUAACCUGCCUUUCAGUGGGGGAUAACCUGGGGAAACUCGGGCUAAUACCGCAUAACAUCCAGGUUGCAUAAGCAGCCGGGAGCAAA